This 3689-nucleotide unclassified non-coding RNA is filed under the name Neodiprion lecontei (redheaded pine sawfly). RNAcentral describes it as "tropomodulin, transcript variant X6". Lineage: Eukaryota; Metazoa; Arthropoda; Insecta; Hymenoptera; Diprionidae. The record is from RNAcentral.
GUUUAGUUCAGCCAGUCGCGUCGUUCGGUGCAGAGUCGCGUCCCGGAAUUUUAGGGAAUACCGCUCGCAUCGCUCUCGAGCCUCGAGUUUGCAUCAGCGAUAAUUUCUCGCCUUAUUCGCCAGCUAUUUUCCGAAGGAGCAAACCGGGAUUUCCCCUUUUCCAUCAGCUUCCCCGACUCAUCCCAACUCCUUAUAGCCGCUCCUCUUUUCGUCACCCGGUGUUUGGCGCUCUCGCCGCUGUUACCACGGGUAAAAGCCUGAAAUUUUCGACCCUGGAGGGUGAUACGAACGAAAAUUCACCGGGCAACACAAAAAUGGAAGUUAUGGACGCCCUGACCCCCGUCAUUUCGACGCCUUCGACGCCGGCCGUCGAGGUCACCGAGGAGGAUGGACCCACCGUCGAGGAAUCGUACGAAGUUACAACCACCCGCCGAAAGACGGUUCGCACAAGCUACAAAAUUCAGGAAACGUCCGCGUCGACAAAAACAACCACCAUGACAACGGCAGCUAAGCUGUACGGCAAAGACCUCAGCGAAUAUGACGAUGUGGAUGUGGACGAUCUGCUGUCACAGCUUUCGCCCGAGGAAAUAAACAUACUUGCAAAGGAAGUCGAUCCAGAUGAUAGUUUCAUGCCUCCGUCGCAACGUUGCAGUUAUGAAUGUGAUAAAGAUCCAACAGGGCCGUUAAACCGCAAGAAGCUCAUCGAUCACAUCAACAAACAGGCUUUAGAGACACCUGAUAUCCCAGAGUUGAAGCCAUAUGUGCCCGGAACUGUUCGUGGGAAGAAAUGGAUUCCACCACCGCAAGAUAAUCAAAAAGAAAAGGAAGCAGAUGAACAAAUUGCAAUAGAUCUUGGAGAUGAAUAUGAACAGGCUCUUUCCGCCGCAUCUCAAGAAGAGAUCAUCGAUCUCGCUGCCAUCCUCGGUUUUCACUCGAUGAUGAACCAGGACCAGUACCAUGCCUCCCUACUAAACUCUGGCCAACCUGUCGGACUGGGGUGGGACGGUAUUACGAAGGCAAGCCAACCCAAAGUAUUUCCCAUGGAACCUCCAAACAACACAGACGUUGAUGCAACGAUUAAACAAGUUCACGACGAUGAUCACAUGUUGGCGGAUCUGAAUUGGAAUAAUAUUAAGAACAUCUCAGACGAAAAGUUCAUUCAGUUGUUCGAAGCAUUGGAGAUCAACACACACCUCGAAGCCUUGAGUUUGACAAACGUCGGGCUAACCGACAAGACUGCACUCAGAUUAGCUGACGCCAUCGAAAAGAAUUCGACCCUCAGAGUACUCAAUGUUGAAACAAAUUUCAUCAGUCCGUCUGUGAUAGUAAGGCUCAUCAAGGCUCUUCUUAAAACAAAAUCCAUCGAAGAGUUCAGAUGCUCAAACCAGAGAUCACAAGUACUGGGCAACAAAAUUGAGAUGGAAAUAACGCAGUUGGUUGAGCAGAAUCCGAUGCUCCUCCGGCUCGGUCUUCACCUUGAAUUUAAUGAUGCCAGGCACAGAGUCGCCGCUCACCUACAGCGCAACAUUGAUAGGACAAAGCACAUAAGGGAAGAAUAGAGUAGUUUAAAUCGUACGGCAGUCCCGGGUCGGGGCAGCGACAUCCUAGUGCGAUGAGGCGUUCGCCUAGACCGUUUACGCCGCACAGGGAGGGCUUCUCGUAACUACACUAUAGGCUGGGCAAUGCACUAGGAACAUGAAGGAAAAUCUUCGCCAUCAUCCGCUGUCUUGGUAUUCUUAUAUCGCAGUUCGACCGCUUCAAACUUUGUCGAAAAGCGAAACGAAAGAGAAAAAAGAGAAAAGCUUGCCUCGAAGAAUCAUGGUGUAAAAAUUUGAUGUUAUAUCGAGCAACUCACGGCUGAUGUGGUUUCCACAAUUUCACGAAAGAUAUUCGGUAUUUCGAGGCUGUGGUUGGAGAGACCGAGUCGUUACUGCGAGAAACCAUCGUUGUCUUGUGAAAAAUGAAAAAUUUGAGAACAAGGGCGAAAAAGGAACCGAGGCUUAAUCUUCCGAAGAUCGCAAAGAUCGGUGCAUCGGGUUCUUCGAGACCAAAGAGAUGCGGAUUAUAUCCUACCGAAGAAUGGCGUCCUACGCCCAGAAGACCUAAUGCCUAGUUGGAAUGGAAACGGCGUCGGCGAAGAAAUAUAAGAAAAAAAAAAAAAAAACAAAAACAAAUCGUAGUCUUUUCAUAGAAUCUUGAAUAUUUAAUAAUCCUGCAAUUCGCUUCCGGAAAAUUAGGAUGCAGUACGCAAUCGUAAUUUGUCUUGCUUAAUCGUCCAGUAUUUCUGGUGUCUGCCAUCAAGCUUACGUCGUUUUAAUUAUUUAUUUUUAAUUUUUAAUCUUUUCCUUUGAAGAGAGAGAGAGAGAGAGAGAGAGAGAAAGCGAAAGAAAGAGCGGGAGGGAUAGAGAGUGAGGGUUUGUGUGUGUGUGUGUCUGCGUGAAAGAGAGAGUGAAAGCGAGAGAUAGAGUUGAGAGAGAGAGAGGGAGAGAUAGAGAAGUUCUCCUUGGUCGUGUAUGGCGUCAAAAUAUAAGCGCAACUUUUGACUGCAGUGUCGCUUUUUUUUUCUUUUUAGCUGUAGCUUUAAAACGUAUACGUCAUUUUUUUUUUUUUUUUUUCUCAAUUCUUAAGCCAUUAUAAAUUUUCGGCAGUACACUGCCAGUUUUUUGAAACCACGCGUUCUAAAAAGCGAGGAGACGGAGUGGAAAUUAUAAGUGGAUAUUUAUAUAUGACAGUUCGCGGCUUCGCCUGUCGUAUUGGAUUUGUCAAAGCUCAUUAAUUCGUGCAGCGCAGGGGUCGAGCUCUCGUCAUGAUGCGGCGAUCCGGGAAUAGCGAUUCAGCCCGUGGCUGGAAACGAAUUUAUUCCUUUUCUUUUUUAUAUGUACAGAUGUUGCCUCGUUCAGCGUGAAAUUCGAAAGUGGGCGUUUGCCUCGGCCUAUGCGGCAGCGUGUUAACGGUUUUCAUUUUCUUUUUUUCUUUUUUCUUUUCUUCCUCACCUUUAAAGAAUCAAAUCGACCAACAGAAUGAUGAUAGAGCGCAUAAUUCGCGGUUCAGGAUAGGGAUAAUUUGAAUGAUCUUUUGUGCGAACGGAAUUACGAUUAGGUGUUUCAAAGUAUAGUGUCCUGUAUUUUUUAUUUCAAGAAAAAAUAAAAUUAAAACAAACAAUUUGCCCGUGUAUAUUCUGACCGGAAAUGCAACGCCCGAGGAUGUCGUCGCUCUUGAAUGACUUAUAUAUUUUAAAUUUAUGAAAUGAGAAGGAACAAACACGACAAGGAAAAAAAAUUAUACAUGAUAUAUAUAAUAUAAAAAAAAAAAAAGAAGAAUUUAAAUAUGAUAAUAAAAAGUUUUAAUCCCCGCACUUACUAUUAUUGUAGAAAUGUAUUUUUUAUUUAUAAUAAACGAUAAUAUUUUUAAUUUUAAUGAUAACGUCCAUUAUGAUGUUGUCGAAUACGAAAAUGAUAACGACGAUGAUGGAGUUGGUGAUGGUUGUACUGAAUCACCGUGAUAAAAAUCGUUAAUUUUUAAAUAAGUAAUUAGAGAAAGAAGUGGAAAACAAACGAUGCAACUUAACCUCCUGUAAUGUUCCCGUUGAAAACGAGGCGAACCAUCACGAUGUAAUAAAUUUAGGUCGAUUGUAUGUAUACAUAAAUAUUUGAAAAUAUAUAUCAUAUGGAUAACGAUGAUGAAUAAUA